AAAAUAUAAGCUCAAAUGCCACAAAAUUUGUAUGUAUAACUUUUUGACACAAAAAUUUACGUUUUCCAAAAGUUUGAGCCAAAAAUUCAUCCGCAUACUCAAGUUAUGGCUCCAACCAUCACUACAAACAAAACCGCUUACUUACUACCUUUGAUUUGGAAGCGCCACCUUCAACUCCUUAUAACUCCUUCAUAUAAACUCCAAAAGCAAUAAUUCUUUCAUAAAAAAUGUAGGCCUUAAAAUCGCCGUUCCAGUCGCACCUUCCGAUCUUCAAAAGUUGCUGUAAAACUCCUCGUACUCUCAAAAAAGUAACAUUAUAUCUUAAAUAAACACCUUAACUUCAAACGGCUAUAACUUUUUCACCUUAACUCCAAAUCCUCUAAUUUUUGUACACAAAUUAUAU
Molecule: long non-coding RNA, 403 nt
Filed under: Physcomitrium patens
Lineage: Eukaryota; Viridiplantae; Streptophyta; Bryopsida; Funariales; Funariaceae
Description: long non-coding RNA (PPAT_LNC010819)
Source: RNAcentral